UUUCCGUUGGUGAACCUGCGGAAGGAUCAUUAUUGUGUUACCGAACUCCCAUAACUCUCCCUGACCCGACAUCUCGUCCACUCCCGCGUUCGCUCACACACCUCCAUCUCACCCCUAUGUCCACCACCGCGUGGUUCCCACUCUGGCUUUUUUGGAGGUCUGCUUACUUUUUCACACAACAUUUGUCUACACUGUAGAAUGUCUUUUUUUUUUUUGCGUUCACGCAAUCAAUACAACUUUCAACAACGGAUCUCUUGCCUCUCUCAUCUCUGAACACCC
RNAcentral lists this unclassified non-coding RNA (279 nucleotides) under plant metagenome. Its description in RNAcentral is "partial contains small subunit ribosomal RNA, internal transcribed spacer 1, and 5.8S ribosomal RNA". The record is from RNAcentral.